RNAcentral lists this ribosomal RNA (423 nucleotides) under uncultured bacterium. RNAcentral's name for it is "bacterial SSU rRNA". It matches the Rfam family "Bacterial small subunit ribosomal RNA", at positions 355 to 794 of the family's 1533-position model. The record is from RNAcentral.
UGGGGAAUAUUGGGCAAUGGGGCGCAAGCCUGACCCAGCAACGCCGCGUGAAGGAAGAAGGUCUUCGGAUCGUAAACUUCUAUCCUUGGUGAAGAUAAUGACGGUAGCCGAGAAGGAAGCCCCGGCUAACUACGUGCCAGCAGCCGCGGUAAUACGUAGGGGGCAAGCGUUGUCCGGAAUGAUUGGGCGUAAAGGGCGCGUAGGCGGCCUGUUAAGUCUGGAGUGAAAGUCCUGCUUUUAAGGUGGGAACUGCUUUGGAUACUGAUGGGCUUGAGUGCAGGAGAGGUAAGCGGAAUUCCCGGUGUAGCGGUGGAAUGCGUAGAGAUCGGGAGGAACACCAGUGGCGAAGGCGGCUUACUGGACUGUAACUGACGCUGAGGCACGAAAGCGUGGGGAGCAAACAGGAUUAGAUACCCUGGUAGU